This 624-nucleotide ribosomal RNA is filed under the name uncultured bacterium. Its description in RNAcentral is "bacterial SSU rRNA". It matches the Rfam family "Bacterial small subunit ribosomal RNA", at positions 338 to 957 of the family's 1533-position model. The record is from RNAcentral.
CCUACGGGAGGCAGCAGUGGGGAAUUUUGGACAAUGGGCGAAAGCCUGAUCCAGCCAUGCCGCGUGCAGGAUGAAGGCCUUCGGGUUGUAAACUGCUUUUGUACGGAACGAAAAGGUCUUUUCUAAUAAAGAAGGCUCAUGACGGUACCGUAAGAAUAAGCACCGGCUAACUACGUGCCAGCAGCCGCGGUAAUACGUAGGGUGCGAGCGUUAAUCGGAAUUACUGGGCGUAAAGCGUGCGCAGGCGGUUAUAUAAGACAGUUGUGAAAUCCCCGGGCUCAACCUGGGAACUGCAUCUGUGACUGUAUAGCUAGAGUACGGUAGAGGGGGAUGGAAUUCCGCGUGUAGCAGUGAAAUGCGUAGAUAUGCGGAGGAACACCGAUGGCGAAGGCAAUCCCCUGGACCUGUACUGACGCUCAUGCACGAAAGCGUGGGGAGCAAACAGGAUUAGAUACCCUGGUAGUCCACGCCCUAAACGAUGUCAACUGGUUNUUGGGUCUUCACUGACUCAGUAACGAAGCUAACGCGUGAAGUUGACCGCCUGGGGAGUACGGCCGCAAAGGUUGAAACGUCAAAAUAGAGUAGACGCGUGAGAGUAGCGACGGACGACGACGAGGGAGGAGG